Molecule: long non-coding RNA, 367 nt
Organism: Passer montanus (Eurasian tree sparrow)
Lineage: Eukaryota; Metazoa; Chordata; Aves; Passeriformes; Passeridae
Exons: 4
Source: RefSeq, a predicted model, not a curated record
UCCUCAGUUCACCAUGGUAGGCACUGCCCUCUGAAACAAGCUCAUGAAUAGCAGGCUGGAGCAUGUAAAAGGGAUGCCUCUUCCUGUGUCCUCUAAACUGUGUAAUGAAUGGUGUCCUGGGAAACCACUGUAUCUUCACACAAAUAGUUCCUGUGGAAGGAUGCUGGAGAAGGCAAUGCAAGGACUCACAAGACAGCUGCUAAAGACCAAAGGAAUCAAAGCAUUUCAUGCCCCAUGGAGCUUUUUUAUAUGCACAUUUCAAUUCUGUGACUUGUAAACUUCACCAGAGCCAUGCAAAAUGGAUCUCACGGAACUGUUCGGAGCAAGAUGAUAUUUAAAUCUCCUUUUCUGUACACAAGGAGAUGAC